RNAcentral lists this microRNA precursor (67 nucleotides) under Bombyx mori (domestic silkworm). RNAcentral describes it as "mir-2774 microRNA precursor family". It matches the Rfam family "mir-2774 microRNA precursor family". The record is from Rfam by way of RNAcentral. Lineage: Eukaryota; Metazoa; Arthropoda; Insecta; Lepidoptera; Bombycidae.
AUAACAUUCUGACCGUCUGUCUACCGGGCAAUUUCAUUCGCUCCGUGGAAGAUCUUCUCUUUGUCGA